CAGUCGCCACGGUAAUACGAAGGGUGCAAGCGUUACUCGGAAUUACUGGGCGUAAAGCGCGCGUAGGUGGUGGUUUAAGUCCGUUGUGAAAGCCCUGGGCUCAACCUGGGAAUUGCAGUGGAUACUGGGUCACUAGAGUGUGGUAGAGGAUAGUGGAAUUUCCGGUGUAGCAGUGAAAUGCGUAGAGAUCGGAAGGAACAUCUGUGGCGAAGGCGACUAUCUGGGCCAACACUGACACUGAGGCACGAAAGCGUGGGGAGCAAACAGGAUUAGAUACCCCUGUAGUCCCUGUCUCUUAUAC
This 301-nucleotide ribosomal RNA is filed under the name uncultured bacterium. Its description in RNAcentral is "partial 16S ribosomal RNA". It matches the Rfam family "Bacterial small subunit ribosomal RNA", at positions 509 to 807 of the family's 1533-position model. The record is from RNAcentral.